UACCAUGCUGAAAUCAUCACUUCUCGUCCGAUCACCGCAGUUAAGCAGUAUCGGGCGCGGUCAGUACUUGGGAGGGGGAACAC
This 83-nucleotide ribosomal RNA is filed under the name Araneus ventricosus. The record is from RNAcentral. Lineage: Eukaryota; Metazoa; Arthropoda; Arachnida; Araneae; Araneidae.